CAUCAUCAUUGUCAACAACAACAAGAAACUGGAACAGACCUCAUGAUGAGCAAACAGCUGGACCUGCUUCACUGGGUCAGUUUGCUUUCCUCAAAGCAUUAAAAGAUACACUUGAGGCAAAGGAUCCACAACUUUUGUCCCCUCGGAGAAAUGAUCUGUCACUGUAUGACAUCCUGAGCAGCCAAACAAUGUAUCCCUCAGCCAAACAAUAUACAGAGAUUUUAAGCCUGGUCAUACGCAGAUGUCCCUUCAUGCGGGAGAAAACUGGUUCAGG
Molecule: long non-coding RNA, 274 nt
Organism: Myripristis murdjan (pinecone soldierfish)
Lineage: Eukaryota; Metazoa; Chordata; Actinopteri; Holocentriformes; Holocentridae
Exons: 3
Source: RefSeq, a predicted model, not a curated record